AUACUAAUUAGUUUACUUAAUGCACUAUAAUAUUUAAUUAGUAUGAAGUAUGUAAGUAAAGUCUUAAUGUACUGCAAAGCGCCAAUAUUAGAAUUUGUGGAACUUCACAAAACGAUUUCCUUAGGUUCCUUAUUAUGCCCUUGUCUUAAUUAUUGCGCUAUAAAAAACGAAAACAUGCUAGCUAGCUAAUUCAUUCACUCGCUGCAUUAUAAAUUUGACUAAUAUAAAUAACCUAUGGUAUUGCAAAACGGAGUUUGUGGAGCCUUAGAAACCUUACCAAAAAAGAUCAAUAAUUACUUUUCCCUCUAAUUAUUAAGAGAGAGAGAGAGAGAGAGAGAAAGAGAGAGAGAGAGAAUCUUAUUUAUUUCCACUACCUACUAAUUAUAUGUGUUACCGCCAAGCGGGUGAAAGAAGUUGUUGUGCAAGCGAGUUUGUCAAUGAGGAAGGAAAGGACCUGGAGGUCAAGGCGAGGACCAAGACGAGGCAUAAGUCAGCGAAUUUCUUGUACGGUCGGUGUUGAGGUAGUGUUGAUGUAAGAAGAUGAAGGAUGCUUGUUAUGACAUGAGGCUAAGAUGAGGCUGGCCUUAUCGCUGUCGCUAAUGGAUAACGAUGGACAGGGUAGGAACCCAGGCAGUAACUGAGGACGAUAGAGACACUUUGCUGAGGACACUCGUGCAGAGAGGGCGUGUGUCGGUGCAGAGACCGACCUAUCUGGAGCACUUGUCAGAAAGGGCGUGCACGUUACUUAAUGAUUACCCCAAGACCCAAACACGUUUUGACCGAAUUCAAGCGGAUCCAACCAGAUUCAAUCGGAUACAAUAAAUGAUUCGUGUCAUCGUGUGGGUCUGAAUCAACUUUCGCCGCCUGCUGGCGGUAACAAUAUACCUCAUAAGUAUCUGUUAAAUCUUGUAAAGCUCCAUACUAUUUAAGCACAAAUCCCCCCCCCCCCAUCUCACACACACUCUCUCUCUCUCUCUCUCUCUCUCUCUCUCUCUCUCUCUCUCUCUCUCUCAUUUUAUCAAGCUUGAAUCUCAUUUUUUUACCUAUCCUACGUGCUGACCGUGAGUAUUUUGUAUGUCACACUUUUUAUAGAGUUUGCUAAUAUCUUCAUUAUUUAAUUUAUUCAACCAACACAUUACAUUUUGGACCAAUUAACUCCCCCAAUUAGGUUUGUCAGCCCCUUGAGGGAACAAUUGUUUCAUAGGAUAUCAUAAUUUGAAAUGCACUGUUUUGUUAACAAUCAUAAUAAAUUGUUUCCCUCAAUAAUCAUGGGCUCCCUUGUGAGGAGGAAAGCUACCAUUGUGACUGCAAUAGUAUGUUACUAUUACACCUACCAAUGUAGUGAACACUGGAAUGACAAUGGAUUACUAGCAUAGGAAGUAAACAGAAAUAGAAUGUUAAAACUACAGUGGUAUUAAGGUUUAUUUAUACCAGUAUUGAGCGAAUGCAUGUUUAUAAUGAACACUUGAACAGUACCGGAUGACACAUUGGCCAGCAAUGGUUCUGAUGUGUACCCGUUAAGAGCCCAGUGUGCAAACGGAAAAUUAAACCACACUGGUCCAAUAUAGGAAGGUAAAUUUGCUAACAUUGGAUGGCUAAUUGCUUUCAACGGAAAAUAACAAUGAUCCAGUAGAAAUCCAAUAUGUCUGUGUUUGCUGGGUUAUUUCUUGUCCUAUCCUUUUUAUUGGCCCUGAGGAAUUUACUGUCACCGUUAUGUCCCUCACACUUCAUUAAUCUUUUCUUUCUCUGAGCAGGAGACGUGGUGGGUGUCACAUUGCAGAUUCCCGGAGUGAAGGAUGUGAGGGAAGUGAGGGACAUGGUUUUGUCUGUCCUGACUUCAUAAUCCUUUGCGAUAUUGGCAGAGUAGCCCUUGAGAGAGAGAGAUGCGUAGACCCGGCCGAAUUUAUCUUAUGUAAUAUUUUCAUUAAUUUGCAAGUAUUCAUUGUAACACCACGCUUUCUCUUUCCAAUCCAGUGUUCAGCAGCCUUUCACUCAAGUGAACAACAGAGGAGUGGUAUAAAGAAAAAAUAGACGACCGAGUAGUAACGUAAUACCAUCACCCGGCUCUUACCUCCACCACCAUCACCGUCAUCCUUCCCCUUCCAAGUGGACUUUUUAUUAUUAUUAUUAUUAGUAGUAGUAGUAGUAGUAGUAGUAGUAGUAGUAGUAGUAGUAGUAGUAGUAGUUGUAGUAUUAGAACCUUCAAGUUUACUAACUCUUGGUCGCCCUCUCAGUAUAACCAAACCAUCUCAGUGUGUUCUUUUUCACCACUCCACACCCCAUAAACAAUAACUGGAAAUUUAAAUCAAUGAACGUGCAGUCCUCAGGGGCAACUCUGAAAUACAAUAAUGUAAGAGCUGGACUUUGUAAUGUGAAUAGUGUUAUGAAUAUAAGAUACAGUUAAUCUCUGACUUCAUAGCAGCAAAUGAACUGGAUAUCUUUUGUGUUGUUGAAUCCUUGGUCUUACCUGAAAUCCCAGACUCCUUUGUUCAAAUUAAUACCCUCAAAAUAUGUAGGACCAACACGAAAGGAAACACCAACAAACAUGGAGUCUGUACAUAAUUUUUUUUUUUAUUUUUAUAAAAGUUAACAUUGUGAUAA
Molecule: long non-coding RNA, 2601 nt
Organism: Scylla paramamosain (green mud crab)
Lineage: Eukaryota; Metazoa; Arthropoda; Malacostraca; Decapoda; Portunidae
Exons: 2
Source: RefSeq, a predicted model, not a curated record